Molecule: ribosomal RNA, 717 nt
Filed under: Triticum aestivum (bread wheat)
Lineage: Eukaryota; Viridiplantae; Streptophyta; Magnoliopsida; Poales; Poaceae
Description: partial small subunit ribosomal RNA
Source: RNAcentral
AUGGGGGCGGUGACAAUGGCGAGCAGCUUCCUCGUCCUCCGCCCGCGGGCGUCUUUGCCGUCGGCGUCGCAUCCUCGUCGUGCGCCCACGAGCGCCCCGCGGCGCCUCCUGGCCACGGCUGCUGAAACUCAUCCGCGGGAGGGGCUCUCCGUGGUGGCCGGCGAGACGAGGGCGAGGGCGACGACGACGCGGCUCUACUCGCUGGCGCCGUGCCCGGUGCUGCUGGCGGCGCUGCUGCCGGGGGCGGAGCCCAUCAGCGCGGCGUUCGAGCCCUUCGUGGAGCUGGUCAGGACCUUCAGCCUCCCCGACUGGCUCGUGCACUGGGGACACCCCGGCAACAUGGCCGUGGUGCUGUUCGCAAUGGGUGGGUACGGGACAUACCUGGGAUUCAGGAUCAAGCUGUCUGACGACCCUGAGGAGAAGGCCAAGGCCAAGGACCUCCACCCCAAGCUCCUCGGCGGCAUGUUCUUCUUCUUCGCCCUCGGUGCCACCGGCGGGGUCACCGCCCUCCUCACCUCCGGCAAACCAAUCCUCGAAAGCCCUCACGCGGUAACCGGUGUCAUUGGCCUUGCACUCCUGACCGUGCAGUCUCUCCUGCCAACAUUGUUUGAGGGAAACCCUGGGCUGAGAGGCGCGCACGGCCUACUCGGCAGCAGCAUCAUGACGCUCUUCCUUUUCCACGCCGCGUUUGGGCUGCAGCUCGGCCUCAGUUUUUAG